RNAcentral lists this small nuclear RNA (107 nucleotides) under Microcebus murinus (gray mouse lemur). Lineage: Eukaryota; Metazoa; Chordata; Mammalia; Primates; Cheirogaleidae. The record is from RNAcentral.
GUGCUUGCUUUGGCAGCACAUUUACUAAAAUUGGAAUUGUACAGAGAAGAUUAGCAUGGCCCCUGCACAAGGAUGACAUGCAAAUUUGUGAAGUGUUCCAUAUUUUU